Non-coding RNA from Bactrocera oleae (olive fruit fly), 2834 nucleotides. The record is from RefSeq and is a predicted model, not a curated record. NCBI's taxonomy places the organism in Eukaryota, Metazoa, Arthropoda, Insecta, Diptera, Tephritidae.
CUCUCUCGCUGACAUUAUUGACACCUCAAACAAAUAACAGAUUCGCUUGGUUCGCUAUUUGUUGUGUGCAUGCAUUCGCGUCGCUGUGUUUUCGGCUUGGGUACUGUUAGCCGGCAAAAUUUAUAAUUUUAUUCAAUUAUACUUUUCAAGUGUUCACCGCUGCGGUUAAUUAUAAUAGUCGAAUAAAACAAAAACUUAUAAAUAAGAAAAUUCCCACUAUCUACGAAAAUGAUUCACGUAUCACAGGAUAUGAUUAGCAGUGUGACAGAUCCAAUUACGGGGGAGCUAGCUCAUAUACACCGUUUCACUUUGGUGAACGAUGCCACGAAUAUGUAUGUGCAGGUCAUAUCUUAUGGUGCCGCCAUCUACUCUCUACGAAUUCCAGAUGAAUCCGGCAAAUUGCAAGACGUUGUUCUGGGCUUCGAUUUAAUAGAAGAAUAUGAAGACCCGAAUAAUCCGUACUUUGGUGCCACCAUUGGGCGUGUUUGUAAUCGCAUUGCCAAUGGUAACUUCAAGAUUUACGAAAAAGAAGUUCAAGUUAGGCAAAAUCAUGGUGAACAUCACUUGCAUGGUGGCUAUAUUGGUUUCGAUAAAGUACCAUGGAAUCUGAAAGAAAUUCAUGAAAAUGGUGUCACUUUUAGUCAUCGUUCACCAGACGGUCAUGAGGGUUAUCCCGGUGAACUUUUUGCCACUGUCCGUUAUACACUGCACGAAGAUAAUACUUUGCGUAUUUUUAUGACUGCAAAAACAACAAUGACAACCGUGGUCAAUAUGACAAAUCAUUCGUACUUCAAUUUGGCUGGACAUGAUGCCGGCAGGGAGGCACUUUAUCAACACACUGUGUCGAUAUAUGGGCGUGAUAUAACUCAAACGGAUAACUUUUGUAUUCCAACAGGCAUAUAUCUGCCGGUCGUCUACACUGCCUAUGACUUUCGAUGUGGCGAAAAUCUGGGUCGACGUAUACGACAAAUUGAGGAUAGAAAAUUGGGUUUCGAUGACAAUUUUUGUGUAACACGGGAGGGAGUGAGUGAGAAUGCGAUCUCCAGAGUGGCAAAAGUUGUUCACCAGCCGACUGGUCGUUGGAUGGAGGUCUAUAGCAAUCAACCAGGUGUGCAAUUCUACACCGGUAACUUUCUGCCAGAUGAGCGAAAGGGCGAGAAACUGCUUAAGGGCAGAGAUAGAUCAACUUACCACAAACAUGGCGCAUUCUGUCUCGAGACGCAAAAGUACCCCGACGCACCCAAUCACCCACACUUCCCAACGAUUAUAUUACGACCCGGCGAGUUGUAUGAACAUAUGGUGCACUAUAAAUUCGGCACGCUCAGAAGUAAGGCACCAUUAACUAGGCUCAGCGAAUUGGAUGAUAUUGAAUAUAUUGAUACAAGUGUUACCGAGAAUAUAGAGGAUGAUGUUUAUGAAGAUAUGUCUGCAGAUGUCACAAGCGCAUCUAAAUCCGAUAUUCCUGAAGAAGGGAGUAAAGCAGAAACUUCUCUGGAAGGGAGUAAAACAAAUAUUCGCGAAGAAGAGAAACCGCAAAGUGCUGGCGCCAUAAAGAAGCAAGAAAAGAAAGAGACAAGUGAGGUCAAUGAAGAGGCUGCAGCAUUAGCAAAAGUAGACGAAAAAGCAGCAGAGAAACUAGCGGAAAAAGCACAAGAAGCGGUGGAAGUUCAAGUACCUGUUGAGGAAGAAGUUAAAGAGGAGCUUAAAAAAGAAACUAAAAAGUAUAAAAUAGACGCUGAGUGCCAGACUGGAGCAGCAGCAACACUUGCUAAGGUUGUAAAAGAGAAGAAGGAAGCGGAAGCUCAGGCGAAACCAGAUGAAGAAGAUGAGGAACUACAGGGUGCUUGCGGUGGUGCACCCAAGGGAAUUGCAAAAAAAUGAAGUACCUAUCAUAUAAGUGAUUAAUUUACAAAAAUAAUAAGUAAUCCAAAAUAACGCAACAUUUUCCAAAAUAUUAUACUAUACCAAUAUUCACAAAACUUAGAAUUGUUUAAAUGAUAAUUAGUGCGCGAUUAAAUAAAUUAGAGCUUCAAGUCUAUUAAAAAAAUAAUAAUUUUCAUAUAUUCAUAUACUGCAUAUAAAAAAAGAACAUACUUAAAUCAUCAUAAACUCUUUACCUGCCACUGCAUUUGUGCUGGAAAACCUUAAAAUUCAGUUUAGUGUUCAAAAAAAAUUUAAUGAACUUAUACAUUUACAAAUUUUAAAUCAAAAAUUGGCGAUUUAUGCACAAAUGGAGGUUCCUGUAUUUUUUUCAACACCUUAACAUAAAUGGUGGGUUUCAUAAGCGGUUGCUUCACCGCAGAAAUAUAAUAUAUAACAUUGGCUGAAAUUAAGAUAAGGAUCCUCAAAAUUUUUCUGCUUCGACCUAAAGGCAACGCUACAUGCCCACAACAGGAGAUUAUGCGCCCACGAAAAGUUUCCGUGAACAAAAUGAUUGUUUCAUUGGCUGUAUGACAUGUAGCGCCGUCUUGUUGAAACCAAAGAUCGUCCACAUCAAGGUCCUCCAAUUCAGGCACGAAACAGUCAUUUAUCAUGACUUUAUAGCAUACCGCAUCGACUGUAACAUUUUGGCCCACUGCCCAUGGACCAGCUUAUCAUCACUUCAAAUGCGACAAUUUUGUUUAUUAAUGUACCCAUUCAACCAAAGGGAGUUUCAUCGCUGAAUAAAAUUAUCUUGUUAAAAUCAGGAUCUUUGGACAACUCGACUUUGUAAGCCCACAAAGCAAGAUCUUUUCGCAAAACCUGUCAUGCACCACAUCAGAAAUAGCGUAUAUAUUGCAUUUGAUCUACAAAGAAAAAAUUAUAAGGAGCAAUUAAAACUAUUGACGACUAAA